Long non-coding RNA from Cyprinus carpio carpio, 370 nucleotides. The record is from Ensembl. NCBI's taxonomy places the organism in Eukaryota, Metazoa, Chordata, Actinopteri, Cypriniformes, Cyprinidae.
AGAAACUAAUCAAGAGAAUGCACUCUCACUGACAAUUUUGAAAAUGUUCAUUUAUGAAACUAACAUUGAUUUAUUUGUGUAUUUUUGUUUUAAUAUAGCAUACCUGUAAAUCAGAGAUAAGUGCAUACGUUGAAUUCACAGUAUCCAAACCACUAUCUACUGUUUACACUGUUGAUCUGACAGGAUCUUAUCUUGGGCAAGACGAUAAAUUUGGAGUCUUCUGAGAGCCGGGUCUGCAGCUCUGAGCUAAAAGUGUGUGGCGCCCCGGCCGCUGGCUGUGAAGAAAUGUUCCAGCGCUGCCUACCGCAAAUGUGUGUUCGUCGUUUCCGGCAGAAUUCUCGAGCAGACGUCUGCGAGAUCUUUACACGAG